UGGACCUUUCAAAGGGAAGCCAGGAGCUCAUCAGGCUGUGCCCAAAGGCUGACAUUACCCAUAGGAUGCCACAGCCAUGCAGCGCUUUGCUUUCGUAGGAGAUACAAGA
RNAcentral lists this small nucleolar RNA (109 nucleotides) under Tupaia belangeri (northern tree shrew). RNAcentral's name for it is "Small nucleolar RNA SNORA25 (ENSTBEG00000020719.1)". The record is from RNAcentral. Lineage: Eukaryota; Metazoa; Chordata; Mammalia; Scandentia; Tupaiidae.